AUAGCUGGUUUCUCAGGAAAAGAAUUUAAGUCCAACCUAAAGUAAUCUCGAUUCACAUAAAUCACCCCACCACUUUAGAGCAAUUCAAAUGAGGUACAGCCCAUUUGAUACAGGAUACAACCUUAACUAACGGGUAACAUUAAAUCUACACCUUCAAGUAGGCCUAAGAGCAGCCACCCUUAAAAGCGUCAAAGCUUAAUCAUGUUUACAUCAAUUUAAAAUCUCCCAUUGACCCCUUUAACUUUACUGAGAAUUUCUAUAUCAUAUAGAACAUUUUAUGCUAAGACUAGUAACAAGAGAAAACCCUCUCCCAAUGCAAACACAAGCCAGCAAGAACCCAUCACUGGCAACUAACAGACCUAGACAAAAGUAGCAACAUCACUAGAAAACCCUACUUCUCACAACUGUUAACCUAACACCAGAGCAUUUCAGGGAAGAUUAAAAGAAAAAGAAGGAACUCGGCAAACACCAAUCCCGCCUGUUUACCAAAAACAUCGCCUCUUGUUACUAUAAGAGGUCAAGCCUGCCCAGUGACUUUGUUCAACGGCCGCGGUAUCCUAACCGUGCGAAGGUAGCGUAAUCACUUGUUUUCUAAAUAAAGACCAGUAUGAAAGGCAUCACGAGGAUUAAACUGUCUCCUUUUUCCAAUCAGUGAACCUAAUCUCCCCGUGAAGAAGCGGGGAUUAUCCUAUAAGACGAG
This 700-nucleotide ribosomal RNA is filed under the name Pristimantis lutzae. Its description in RNAcentral is "partial 16S ribosomal RNA". It matches the Rfam family "Bacterial large subunit ribosomal RNA", at positions 845 to 2084 of the family's 2925-position model. The record is from RNAcentral. Lineage: Eukaryota; Metazoa; Chordata; Amphibia; Anura; Strabomantidae.